This 397-nucleotide ribosomal RNA is filed under the name uncultured bacterium. RNAcentral's name for it is "partial 16S ribosomal RNA". It matches the Rfam family "Bacterial small subunit ribosomal RNA", at positions 523 to 918 of the family's 1533-position model. The record is from RNAcentral.
AUACGUAGGGGGCGAGCGUUGUCCGGAAUUAUUGGGCGUAAAGGGCGUGUAGACGGUCAUAUAAGUUACAGGUGAAAGCCCAUUUUUCAAGGAUGGAACUGCCUGUAAGACUGUAAGACUUGAGUGCAGGAGAGGGAAGCGGAAUUCCAAGUGUAGCGGUGAAAUGCGUAGAUAUUUGGAGGAACACCAGUGGCGAAGGCGGCUUUCUGAACUGCAACUGACGUUGAGGCGCGAAAGCGUGGGGAGCGAACGGGAUUAGAUACCCCGGUAGUCCUGGCCGUAAACGAUGGGUACGAGGUGUAGGAGGUAUCGACCCCUUCUGUGCCGGAGUUAACGCAAUAAGUACCCCGCCUGGGGAGUACGGCCGCAAGGUUGAAACUUAAAGGAAUUGACGGGG